This 1195-nucleotide ribosomal RNA is filed under the name uncultured bacterium. RNAcentral describes it as "bacterial SSU rRNA". It matches the Rfam family "Bacterial small subunit ribosomal RNA". The record is from RNAcentral.
GAUGAACGCUGGCGGCGUGCUUAACACAUGCAAGUCGAACGGAGCUAUGACACGGAGUUUUCGGAUGAAGUGCUAUUGCUUAGUGGCGGACGGGUGAGUAACACGUGAGCAACCUACCUUUUGCAGGGGAAUAACUCUGGGAAACCAGAGCUAAUACCGCAUGUCGUGCGCUUGGGGCAUCCCAGGUGCAUGAAAGGAUUUUAUCCGGCAGAAGAUGGGCUCGCGUCCGAUUAGGUAGUUGGAGAGGUAACGGCUCCCCAAGCCGACGAUCGGUAGCCGGACUGAGAGGUCGAUCGGCCACAUUGGGACUGAGACACGGCCCAGACUCCUACGGGAGGCAGCAGUGGGGAAUAUUGGGCAAUGGGCGGAAGCCUGACCCAGCGACGCCGCGUGAAGGAGGAAGGCUUUCGAGUUGUAAACUUCUUUGGGGAGGGACGAAGAUGACGGUACCUCCAGAACAAGCCACGGCUAACUACGUGCCAGCAGCCGCGGUAAUACGUAGGUGGCGAGCGUUAUCCGGAUUUACUGGGUGUAGGGAGUAUCGACUCUCUCUGUGCCGAAGCAAACGCGAUAAGUAAUCCACCUGGGGAGUACGGCCGCAAGGCUAAAACUCAAAGGAAUUGACGGGGACCCGCACAAGCAGUGGAGUAUGUGGUUUAAUUCGAGGCAACGCGAAGAACCUUACCAGGGAUUGACAUCCUGCGCUAGGCCUGGAGACAGGUUGUUCCUUCGGGACGCAGAGACAGGUGGUGCAUGGUUGUCGUCAGCUCGUGUCGUGAGAUGUUCGGUUAAGUCCGGCAACGAGCGCAACCCUUGUUGUCAGUUACCAUCAUUAAGUUGGGGACUUUGGCGAGACUGCCGUUGACAAAACGGAGGAAGGUGGGGAUGACGUCAAAUCAUCAUGCCCCUUAUAUCCUGGGCUACACACGUACUACAAUGGGCGUUACAGCGGGCAGCCACACCGCGAGGUGGAGCGAAUCCCGAAAGGCGUCCUCAGUUCGGAUUGCAGGCUGCAACUCGCCUGCAUGAAGUCGGAAUUGCUAGUAAUGGCAGGUCAGCAUACUGCCGUGAAUACGUUCCCGGGUCUUGUACACACCGCCCGUCACACCAUGAGAGUCUGUAACACCCGAAGUCAGUAGUCUAACCUGAUUAGAUUAGGGGGACGCUGCCGAAGGUGGGAUAGAUAAUUGGGGUG